Molecule: ribosomal RNA, 259 nt
Filed under: uncultured Methylobacterium sp.
Lineage: Bacteria; Pseudomonadati; Pseudomonadota; Alphaproteobacteria; Hyphomicrobiales; Methylobacteriaceae
Description: partial 16S ribosomal RNA
Rfam family: Bacterial small subunit ribosomal RNA
Source: RNAcentral
CUUCGGAAGUCAGUGGCAGACGGGUGAGUAACACGUGGGAACGUGCCCUUCGGUUCGGAAUAACUCAUGGAAACUUGAGCUAAUACCGGAUACGCCCUUAUGGGGAAAGGUUUACUGCCGAAGGAUCGGCCCGCGUCUGAUUAGCUUGUUGGUGGGGUAACGGCCUACCAAGGCGACGAUCAGUAGCUGGUCUGAGAGGAUGAUCAGCCACACUGGGACUGAGACACGGCCCAGACUCCUACGGGAGGCAGCAGAAGGG